UUUUAAGUGAUACCCAAUUGCUUAAUUGUUUUCUUACCUUUUUUCUGCAUGUUUUUCACAUUAUAAAUACAUGACUCUUUCAUUAACAAAAACAUCCAUCAUUCGUAGUCUUUCUAGACUUACACUUACACUCAAAAGUAUUCUCUCUUAUUGCUUGUACCGUGGCGUGUUCACAAUGCUUGUUGCAUGUUUUCUCUCUAUUUGCAUCGUUGAAACUGGUAUGUCCUGAUUUAAGCUUUUUAGCACCACAACAGUGUCUUUAUUUACUGCUUUUGUAUCCCUAUCUAAUUACUGCUUCUGUGUGGUUCCACACUGCUGAUUUCUUUCUGCCUUCUAUUAUGAAUCCCAAAUCCCUGCUCCUCUAUAUGUUUACGCUAUGGUUUGAGGCAUGGUAAUCCCGCAAGUUAUUGUCCAUGAACCAAACUCGAUCCCUUGGGACCCUAGCCUCUAAAUAGUGUGUUUUGGAAGGUUUGAGAGUAUGCUAGCAUCCUCCAUUUCUAGGCAUGUUUGAAACCUGUCCUAGCCUAAGUAAUAGGCUCUUCACAACCUCACUACUCCCCUGAACCCCCAUAUGUGUGUUUAUUAGUAGUUGUUUCCCUCUCAUUUUCCCCUUUAG
RNAcentral lists this long non-coding RNA (616 nucleotides) under Nicotiana benthamiana. RNAcentral describes it as "long non-coding RNA (NBEN_LNC038746)". Lineage: Eukaryota; Viridiplantae; Streptophyta; Magnoliopsida; Solanales; Solanaceae. The record is from RNAcentral.